This 232-nucleotide long non-coding RNA is filed under the name Fukomys damarensis (Damara mole-rat). Its description in RNAcentral is "lncRNA (ENSFDAG00000027341.1)". The record is from RNAcentral. Lineage: Eukaryota; Metazoa; Chordata; Mammalia; Rodentia; Bathyergidae.
CUGAAGGGAAGACCCUGCCACAAAACUCGUCGGUGUGAGCGGAGGUGGACCCUUCACCGACGGGAGGGCAGUUUCAACAUGAAAUCAGGAGGGGAGCUGCCUCCUGAAGCACAUUCCAGUUCCACGGCAAACUAAAAGUGCUCACGUACUUCAUGUUUCCGUUCUGACCCGCAACUUCACUGCCUCCGCCUAAGGACUGCUAACGUAUUACAGGGGGAAAGUCCACAUGCAG